RNAcentral lists this ribosomal RNA (443 nucleotides) under uncultured bacterium. RNAcentral describes it as "partial 16S ribosomal RNA". It matches the Rfam family "Bacterial small subunit ribosomal RNA", at positions 338 to 795 of the family's 1533-position model. The record is from RNAcentral.
CCUACGGGUGGCAGCAGUGGGGAAUAUUGGGCAAUGGGCGCAAGCCUGACCCAGCAACGCCGCGUGAAGGAAGAAGGCUUUCGGGUUGUAAACUUCUUUUCUGAGGGACGAAGAAAGUGACGGUACCUCAGGAAUAAGCCACUGCUAACUACGUGCCAGCAGCCGCGGUAAUACGUAGGUGGCAAGCGUUAGCCGGAUGUAUUGGGGGUAAAGGGAGUGUAGGCGGGAAAGCAAGUCAGAUGUGAAAACUCAGGGCUCAACCCUGAGCCUGCAUUGGAAGCUGUUUUUCUUGAGUGCUGGAGAGGCAAGCGGAAUUCCGGGUGUAGCGGUGAAAUGCGUAGAUAUACGGAGGAACACCAGUGGCGAAGGCGGAUUGCUGGACAGUAACUGACGCUGAGGCGCGAAAGCGUGGGGAGCAAACAGGAUUAGAUACCCUUGUAGUC